Molecule: small nuclear RNA, 191 nt
Organism: Jaculus jaculus (lesser Egyptian jerboa)
Lineage: Eukaryota; Metazoa; Chordata; Mammalia; Rodentia; Dipodidae
Gene: U2
Rfam family: U2 spliceosomal RNA
About the family: U2 is a small nuclear RNA (snRNA) component of the spliceosome (involved in pre-mRNA splicing). Complementary binding between U2 snRNA (in an area lying towards the 5' end but 3' to hairpin I) and the branchpoint sequence (BPS) of the intron results the bulging out of an unpaired adenosine, on the BPS, which initiates a nucleophilic attack at the intronic 5' splice site, thus starting the first of two transesterification reactions that mediate splicing.
Source: Ensembl
AUCGCUUCUCGGCCUUUUGGCUAAGAUCAAGUGUUGUGUCUGUUCUUAGCAGUUUAAUAUCUGAUACAUCCUCUAUCCGAGGACAAUAUAUUUAAUGGUAUUUUGGAGCUCGGAGUUGGAAUAGGAGCUUUCUCCGUCCACUCCAUGUGUCGACCUGGUAUUGCAGUACCUCCAGAAGCGGUGCACUCCCU